GUAAGGAAUAUUGGACAAUGGUCGCAAGACUGAUCCAGCCAUGCCGCGUGAAGGAUGAAGGCCCUAUGGGUUGUAAACUUCUUUUGUAUGGGAAAAAACCUCUCUACGUGUAGAGAGCUGAUUGUACCAUAAGAAUAAGGAUCGGCUAACUCCGUGCCAGCAGCCGCGGUAAUACGGAGGAUCCAAGCGUUAUCCGGAUUCAUUGGGUUUAAAGGGUGCGUAGGCGGAAUGAUAAGUCAGUGGUGAAAGCCUGCAGCUUAACUGCAGAACUGCCAUUGAUACUGUCAAUCUUGAGUACAUUUGAUGUGGGCGGAAUGUGUCAUGUAGCGGUGAAAUGCUUAGAUAUGACACAGAACACCGAUUGCGAAGGCAGCUCACAAAACUGUAACUGACGCUGAGGCACGAAAGCGUGGGUAUCAAACAGGAUUAGAUACCCUGGUAGUCC
RNAcentral lists this ribosomal RNA (445 nucleotides) under uncultured bacterium. Its description in RNAcentral is "bacterial SSU rRNA". It matches the Rfam family "Bacterial small subunit ribosomal RNA", at positions 354 to 796 of the family's 1533-position model. The record is from RNAcentral.